This 1246-nucleotide long non-coding RNA is filed under the name Chinchilla lanigera (long-tailed chinchilla). RNAcentral describes it as "lncRNA (ENSCLAG00000029202.1)". Lineage: Eukaryota; Metazoa; Chordata; Mammalia; Rodentia; Chinchillidae. The record is from RNAcentral.
CAGCUGUUGACUUAGUAUGUUUAAAUGAAUGAAAGAAUGAAGGUUGCUGUGGCUCGGGCCUUGAGUCCUGGUCCCCGGGGAGAUGCCAUGGGGAGGCGGUGGGAACACGAGUGCGUGGGGGCGUGGGGGUUUUCAUUUACAGGGACGCACCCCUGAAGGGGCAGUGGCACUCUGCUCUCCUCUCUUUUUACUUCCUGGCUCACUGUGAGGUGAGGGGUUUGGCUUUGCUCUGCUCUGCUGACAGGGUGUGCAGCCUCACCACCGGCCAAACACCAAUGGGGUGGUGAGUAGUGGGACCGGAACCUCCACAACUCCCUCUCCUCCCUAAGGCGAUCCCUUCAGGGGCUGGUCACAGCUGGGGAAAGCUGAUGGACACACAGGCCCGAUUCGCUGCAGGAACCCAGGCUCAGCACUCUCGGUUGGUACUAAGCUCCCCAGCGUGGCGGUCACGGAAGCCUCUCUUCUCCUCACCCUCUACUUUGAAAUAAACAAUGUGCGGUUGUCCAACAACGUGCCACAACUAUUUCCCUUUUAACUGAACAACAAAAAGAUGAGAAAAUCUCAAAUCAUCUGAUUUGGGAGCUGGAGCUCUCUUGCUGUUCCAGGAGGGGCCAGUCCAGCGCUGGAGGCCACCAGGGUGGCAGGGGGAGAGGGACAAGUGGGGACCCCACGGGCGGGCAACUUGGUGGCUCCUCCCUACUGACGGGUCAUCGGCCGUGGAUGACAGGAGUCAAACAAAGCACUCGUGAAAUUGCAGUGCCGCAGAGGGGGUGAGGACCAAGGAACCUCGAUCUGCUCUUCCUCUUACUUGAUUUUUAAAAGCAGAGAAAGAAAGAAAAAAAAGUAGGGGAAGAAAGCCACGCUCUCCCCAGCUCCCGGGCCGCUGACGUCCUUGGUCUUCGCACACCCGCUGCAGCAGCGCGUCAGGAAUGCGACCCACCGCCGCAGCCUGCUGUGAUGCCUGUGAGCCUAGUCGGAUGCGGCAGCUCUCACGAAUUUAACACAAGUGCUGCUGCUGCUGAAGCUGACCUUCCGAGCGUGAUUGGAUCGGAGCCUUGGGACUACGAACCCCAGAGGACAGCGGGCUGGGGGAAGGACAACUGCAUCCAAGCGGAGUGAUGAGAAAUAGUGUGGCUGAAAUUUGGGUCUGCUCUGUCCUGCUGAUCGCGCCUGGAGCUGUGGACGCCAGCACUUCCCUUCUCUGGACUGGAGUGAGUCUCCAUCAGCACAGUGGGAAAAGCUCCAC